RNAcentral lists this ribosomal RNA (439 nucleotides) under uncultured bacterium. RNAcentral describes it as "partial 16S ribosomal RNA". It matches the Rfam family "Bacterial small subunit ribosomal RNA", at positions 339 to 795 of the family's 1533-position model. The record is from RNAcentral.
CUACGGGGUGCUCCAGUGAGGAAUAUUGCACAAUGGGGGGAACCCUGAUGCAGCAACGCCGCAUGGAGGAUGACGCAUUUCGGUGUGUAAACUCCUUUUAUAUGUCAAGAAAAUGACGGUAGCAUAUGAAUAAGCACCGGCUGACUCCGUGCCAGCAGCCGCGGUAAUACGGAGGGUGCAAGCGUUACUCGGAAUCACUGGGCGUAAAGGACGCGUAGGCGGGUUGGAAAGUCAGGUGUGAAAUCCUACAGCUUAACUGUAGAACUGCACUUGAAACUUCUAAUCUAGAGUAUGGGAGGGGGAGAUGGAAUUAGUGGUGUAGGGGUAAAAUCCGUAGAUAUCACUAGGAAUACCUAAAGCGAAGGCGAUCUCCUGGAACAUUACUGACGCUAAGGCGUGAAAGCGUGGGGAGCAAACAGGAUUAGAUACCCCGGUAGUC